UACGGAGGGUGCAAGCGUUGUUCGGAAUUACUGGGCGUAAAGCGCCUGUAGGCGGUUUAAGUAGUUGGGUGUGAAAUCCCUGGGCUCAACCCGGGAACUGCGCCCAAAACCAUUAAGCUUGAGUGCCAAAUGGGUACGUGGAAUUCCCAGUGUAGCAGUGAAAUGCGUAGAUAUUGGGAGGAACACCGGUGGUGAAGACGACGUACUGGAUGGUAACUGACGCUGAGAGGCGAAAGCGUGGGUAGCAAACAGG
RNAcentral lists this ribosomal RNA (253 nucleotides) under uncultured bacterium. Its description in RNAcentral is "partial 16S ribosomal RNA". It matches the Rfam family "Bacterial small subunit ribosomal RNA", at positions 524 to 776 of the family's 1533-position model. The record is from RNAcentral.